UACGUAGGGUGCGAGCGUUGUCCGGAAUUACUGGGCGUAAAGAGCUCGUAGGUGGUUUGUCGCGUUGUUCGUGAAAUCUCACGGCUUAACUGUGAGCGUGCGGGCGAUACGGGCAGACUGGAGUACUGCAGGGGAGACUGGAAUUCCUGGUGUAGCGGUGGAAUGCGCAGAUAUCAGGAGGAACACCGGUGGCGAAGGCGGGUCUCUGGGCAGUAACUGACGUGGAGGAGCGAAAGCGUGGGGAGCGAACAGG
Molecule: ribosomal RNA, 253 nt
Filed under: uncultured bacterium
Lineage: Bacteria
Description: partial 16S ribosomal RNA
Rfam family: Bacterial small subunit ribosomal RNA
Source: RNAcentral